GACGAACGCUGGCGGCGUGCUUAACACAUGCAAGUCGAACGGAAAGGCCCUGCUUUUGUGGGGUGCUCGAGUGGCGAACGGGUGAGUAACACGUGAGUAACCUGCCCUUGACUUUGGGAUAACUUCAGGAAACUGGGGCUAAUACCGGAUAGGAGCUCCUGCUGCAUGGUGGGGGUUGGAAAGUUUCGGUGGUUGGGGAUGGACUCGCGGCUUAUCAGCUUGUUGGUGGGGUAGUGGCUUACCAAGGCUUUGACGGGUAGCCGGCCUGAGUGGGUGACCGGCCACAUUGGGACUGAAAUACGGCCCAGACUCCUACGGGAGGCAGCAGUGGGGAAUAUUGCACAAUGGGCGGAAGCCUGAUGCAGCAACGCCGCGUGCGGGAUGACGGCCUUCGGGUUGUAAACCGCUUUCGCCUGUGACGAAGCGUGAGUGACGGUAAUGGGUAAAGAAGCACCGGCUAACUACGUG
This 468-nucleotide ribosomal RNA is filed under the name uncultured bacterium. RNAcentral's name for it is "partial 16S ribosomal RNA". It matches the Rfam family "Bacterial small subunit ribosomal RNA", at positions 28 to 507 of the family's 1533-position model. The record is from RNAcentral.